RNAcentral lists this ribosomal RNA (249 nucleotides) under Escherichia coli. RNAcentral describes it as "partial 16S ribosomal RNA". It matches the Rfam family "Bacterial small subunit ribosomal RNA", at positions 1 to 244 of the family's 1533-position model. The record is from RNAcentral. Lineage: Bacteria; Pseudomonadati; Pseudomonadota; Gammaproteobacteria; Enterobacterales; Enterobacteriaceae.
UUAAAUUGAAGAGUUUGAUCAUGGCUCAGAUUGAACGCUGGCGGCAGGCCUAACACAUGCAAGUCGAACGGUAACAGAAAGCAGCUUGCUGCUUUGCUGACGAGUGGCGGACGGGUGAGUAAUGUCUGGGAAACUGCCUGAUGGAGGGGGAUAACUACUGGAAACGGUAGCUAAUACCGCAUAACGUCGCAAGACCAAAGAGGGGGACCUUCGGGCCUCUUGCCAUCGGAUGUGCCCAGAUGGGAUUAG